This is a non-coding RNA of Gossypium raimondii (Peruvian cotton), 106 nucleotides long. NCBI's taxonomy places the organism in Eukaryota, Viridiplantae, Streptophyta, Magnoliopsida, Malvales, Malvaceae. The record is from Rfam.
AUUUCGUGAUAAGGGCAUUUUCGUAAUAAUUUUUUGAAUCACUCCCACGCCUCAUACAAUGAUUCGUCAUCCAUUUGUUGAAAAUUCGUGAUCUCAUUCCGCAACU